RNAcentral lists this ribosomal RNA (425 nucleotides) under uncultured bacterium. RNAcentral's name for it is "bacterial SSU rRNA". It matches the Rfam family "Bacterial small subunit ribosomal RNA", at positions 356 to 773 of the family's 1533-position model. The record is from RNAcentral.
GGGGAAUUUUGGACAAUGGGGGCAACCCUGAUCCAGCCAUUCCGCGUGAGUGAAGAAGGCCUUCGGGUUGUAAAGCUCUUUCAGCAGGAACGAAACGGUGGUCCCUAAUACGGGCUACUAAUGACGGUACCUGAAGAAGAAGCACCGGCUAACUACGUGCCAGCAGCCGCGGUAAUACGUAGGGUGCGAGCGUUAAUCGGAAUUACUGGGCGUAAAGCGUGCGCAGGCGGUUAUAUAAGACAGAUGUGAAAUCCCCGGGCUUAACCUGGGAACUGCGUUUGUGACUGUAUAACUCGAGUGUGGCAGAGGGGGGUGGAAUUCCACGUGUAGCAGUGAAAUGCGUAGAGAUGUGGAGGAACACCGAUGGCGAAGGCAGCCCCCUGGGUCAACACUGACGCUCAUGCACGAAAGCGUGGGGAGCAAAC